UACGAAGGGGGCUAGCGUUGUUCGGAAUUACUGGGCGUAAAGCGCACGUAGGCGGAUAUUUAAGUCAGGGGUGAAAUCCCGGGGCUCAACCCCGGAACUGCCUUUGAUACUGGGUAUCUCGAGUCCGAGAGAGGUGAGUGGAAUUCCGAGUGUAGAGGUGAAAUUCGUAGAUAUUCGGAGGAACACCAGUGGCGAAGGCGGCUCACUGGCUCGGUACUGACGCUGAGGUGCGAAAGCCAGGGGAGCAAACGGG
This 253-nucleotide ribosomal RNA is filed under the name uncultured bacterium. RNAcentral describes it as "partial 16S ribosomal RNA". It matches the Rfam family "Bacterial small subunit ribosomal RNA", at positions 524 to 776 of the family's 1533-position model. The record is from RNAcentral.